Molecule: transfer RNA, 34 nt
Filed under: Ornithoglossum viride (green slangkop)
Lineage: Eukaryota; Viridiplantae; Streptophyta; Magnoliopsida; Liliales; Colchicaceae
Description: partial transfer RNA-Phe
Source: RNAcentral
GUGGGAUAGCUCAGUUGGUAGAGCAGAGGACUGA